UUUACAAAAAAAGAGAAAAAGAGAUAGAGACUGAAGACUCAGAGUUGCUAAAUCAGUUUAAGAAACUCUAAUAAAUUACAAAGAGGAAUCAGAGAUUACGAGAUAAACCAUGACAAGAGGGAUACUUGAGGUGUUGCUUAUUGCUGGUUGUGAUUUAAAGAAGGCCCAUUUCUUCGUUGAACAGGUUCUGUAUGGUGAAUUCAUAAAUUGUAGGGAAAAGGAAUCCUUAUGUAAUAAUAAAGUAUGAUUAUCAUAGUCGGACGAGCAAGAUUGCCCAAGGAAAAGGACCGCAUUCACGAAGGAAGAGGGUAUGGGACGAAACAUUUACAUUUGAUGUCGAUUAUCCAGAUGCUGAACUUAAAAAAGACCAUGAGUUGAAAAUCUCAUUCACGGUCAUGGAGAGAAGUCAUAGUUGUUGCUUCAUUAAGGACACAUUCAUUGGAGAAGCGACGGUUUACAUAAAGGACGUACUGUCGCUAGGAGCAGAAGUGGGAAAAGCUGCAAUAAGACCGACAGAAUACCGAGUUGUCCUCCGUAACAAGGUAUACCAUGGAGAAAUUCGAGUGGCCGUAUCAUUUCGAAAGGUAGAAGAUGAGAAAGAUCAAGAUGUGGAGGACGGAAAGAAAGUUCAAUCACUGAUAAAUGAGUGAAUACUAAUUAACUAUAUAAUUUACUCAUCAGGUAG
Molecule: RNA transcript, 685 nt
Organism: Papaver somniferum (opium poppy)
Lineage: Eukaryota; Viridiplantae; Streptophyta; Magnoliopsida; Ranunculales; Papaveraceae
Gene name: elicitor-responsive protein 1-like
Exons: 4
Source: RefSeq, a predicted model, not a curated record